Molecule: ribosomal RNA, 253 nt
Filed under: uncultured bacterium
Lineage: Bacteria
Description: partial 16S ribosomal RNA
Rfam family: Bacterial small subunit ribosomal RNA
Source: RNAcentral
UACGUAGGGGGCUAGCGUUGUCCGGAAUCAUUGGGCGUAAAGCGCGUGUAGGCGGCCCGAUAAGUCCGCUGUGAAAGUCCAGGGCUCAACCCUGGGAUGCCGGUGGAUACUGUCGGGCUCGAGUCCGGAAGAGGCGAGUGGAAUUCCUGGUGUAGCGGUGAAAUGCGCAGAUAUCAGGAAGAACACCCGUGGCGAAAGCGGCUCUCUGGAACGGUACUGACGCUGAGACGCGAAAGCGUGGGGAGCGAACAGG